RNAcentral lists this ribosomal RNA (1085 nucleotides) under Bacillus sp. C1I64. Its description in RNAcentral is "bacterial SSU rRNA". It matches the Rfam family "Bacterial small subunit ribosomal RNA", at positions 97 to 1158 of the family's 1533-position model. The record is from RNAcentral. Lineage: Bacteria; Bacillati; Bacillota; Bacilli; Caryophanales; Bacillaceae.
GGCGGACGGGUGAGUAACACGUGGGUAACCUGCCUGUAAGACUGGGAUAACUCCGGGAAACCGGGGCUAAUACCGGAUGGUUGUUUGAACCGCAUGGUUCAAACAUAAAAGGUGGCUUCGGCUACCACUUACAGAUGGACCCGCGGCGCAUUAGCUAGUUGGUGAGGUAACGGCUCACCAAGGCAACGAUGCGUAGCCGACCUGAGAGGGUGAUCGGCCACACUGGGACUGAGACACGGCCCACACUCCUACGGGAGGCAGCAGUAGGGAAUCUUCCGCAAUGGACGAAAGUCUGACGGAGCAACGCCGCGUGAGUGAUGAAGGUUUUCGGAUCGUAAAGCUCUGUUGUUAGGGAAGAACAAGUACCGUUCGAAUAGGGCGGUACCUUGACGGUACCUAACCAGAAAGCCACGGCUAACUACGUGCCAGCAGCCGCGGUAAUACGUAGGUGGCAAGCGUUGUCCGGAAUUAUUGGGCGUAAAGGGCUCGCAGGCGGUUUCUUAAGUCUGAUGUGAAAGCCCCCGGCUCAACCGGGGAGGGUCAUUGGAAACUGGGAGAACUUGAGUGCAGAAGAGAGAGAGUGGAAUUCCACGUGUAGCGGUGGAAAUGCGUAGAGAUGUGGAGGAACACCAGUGGCGAAGGCGACUCUCUGGUCUGUAACUGACGCUGAGGAGCGAAAGCGUGGGGAGCAAACAGGAUUAGAUACCCUGGUAGUCCACGCCGUAAACGAUGAGUGCUAAGUGUUAGGGGGUUUCCGCCCCUUAGUGCUGCAGCUAACGCAUUAAGCACUCUCGCCUGGGGAGUGCGGUGGCAAGAAUGAAACUCAAAAGGAAUUGACGGGGGCCCGCACACAGCGCGUGGAGCAUGUGGUGUAAUUCUGAAGCAACGCGAAGAACCUUACCAGGUCUUGACAUCUCUCUGACAAUAUCUAGAGAUAGGACGUCCCCUUCGGGGGCAGAGUGACAGGUGGUGCAUGGUUGUCGUCAGCUCGUGUCGUGAGAUGUUGGGUUAAGUCCCGCAACGAGCGCAACCCCCGAUCUUAGUUGCCAGCAUUCAGUUGGGCACUCUAAGGUGACUGCCGGUGA